Molecule: ribosomal RNA, 459 nt
Filed under: uncultured bacterium
Lineage: Bacteria
Description: partial 16S ribosomal RNA
Rfam family: Bacterial small subunit ribosomal RNA
Source: RNAcentral
CCUACGGGAGGCAGCAGUGAGGAAUAUUGGUCAAUGGUCGGGAGACUGAACCAGCCAAGCCGCGUGAGGGAGGAAGGUACAGAGUAUCGUAAACCUCUUUUGUCAGGGAACAAAGGCGGGGACGUGUCCCCGGAUGAGUGUACCUGAAGAACAAGCAUCGGCUAACUCCGUGCCAGCAGCCGCGGUAAUACGGAGGAUGCGAGCGUUAUCCGGCUUUAUUGGGUUUAAAGGGUGCGCAGGCGGUCUGUUAAGUCAGCGGUCAAAGCCCGGGGCUCAACCCCGGCCCGCCGUUGAAACUGGCAGUCUCGAGUUGGAGAGAAGUAUGCGGAAUGCGCGGUGUAGCGGUGAAAUGCAUAGAUAUUAGGAGGAACAUCAGGGGCGAAGGCGACUUACUGGACUGUAACUGACACUGAGGCACGAAAGCGUGGGGAGCAAACAGGAUUAGAUACCCCUGUAGUC